GAUGUCAUGAUGUGCCAAAAAGCCUGUUUAGCUUUGCCACCAUAUUCUUCACUGUUUCCUUGGCACAUGCCCAGUUGGCAUAGCUCAUCUUUGGUAUUCAAUUGGAUGACCUAAAUACCUUCCAGAGAUACAUCUCGAGAAUAGCCUGCAGUGUGAAAACAGUGUCUUAUCCAGAAGGCGCUGACUGACACAGGCAGUGGGAAGUUUUCAGAACUCAGUAGUCCCGUCUGCUCUGCUGCUUUGAACAGUGGAGGGACUGAAACAGUCGUCACAGAGCGUAACCAGGGAUGGAACCAGAGGCUGACCGUGAUUGUCAGAUGCAGGAUGCUCAUGGAACAUGAGGUGAGUCUGGUGCAGAGGGCUGGUCGGAUUCCACCCGCAUCAACCCCACCCCUGUCGCAGCUGCUCAGAGGCACCAGCUUUUGCAGGCAGUGUUUGUGUUGUCAGGGCUUUUUGUUGUUUGACUCUUUAUAUGUCAAAGUUAAUGAUGACUUCUAAUUAGUACUCUGAUUAUUCAAAGGGGAUAAAGAAGAUAAUAUACAAAAAUGUAAAAAUAUCAAACUGAAUAGUGAAAUGAAAGUAAAAAUAAAUUAUGAUGAGGCUAAGAAACACAUUCUGGAAAUACAAAUAUGUUCGUAAUUAAUGGGCCUACAGUUCAGCCUACCUGGCGUUAAUUUCUUUUUAAUGUUUAUUUUUAAGUGUGUGUGUGUGUGUGUCUGUCUGUCUGUCUGUCUGUCUUUAAAACAGCAAGUGCUUUUAACUGUUGAGUCCUUGCCCAAAGAGUUUUAAUAGUCAGUUGAAAAGAGUAGCCUGAUUUGUAGUAUAAUUAAUAAUGUCCUUGAGAGUAAGACGUUAUCAGGAGAUGAAGCUGCCUGUUAAGGGUAUUAGUUGUUCUCUGGACUGUUAACAUUGA
Molecule: long non-coding RNA, 913 nt
Organism: Acomys russatus (golden spiny mouse)
Lineage: Eukaryota; Metazoa; Chordata; Mammalia; Rodentia; Muridae
Exons: 3
Source: RefSeq, a predicted model, not a curated record